Molecule: ribosomal RNA, 363 nt
Filed under: Triticum aestivum (bread wheat)
Lineage: Eukaryota; Viridiplantae; Streptophyta; Magnoliopsida; Poales; Poaceae
Description: partial small subunit ribosomal RNA
Source: RNAcentral
AUGGAAAAAAUGAAGGAUGCGCCGAUACCAGAAGGUGAAGAGCUAAAGUCUGUUGUUGAAAUUGUUGAAGAAGUGCUCAAGACCGAAGUCAAGAAAAGCACAUUCCUCAGGAAUGUUGGGCUCCAGUCAUGUAGGAACAACUCUGGCAAAGCAACUGCUGACGUGGCUGCUCAUGUUCAUGACCUUGAGCAGAAGCUGGAGAGGUCUGAGCUUCAAGCUGAAGUGAUGCAAGAAGAAUUGGUGGCAAUCGAGAUGAAGGCGGAAGAAUCUGAAGCUGCACGCGACAAGGAACUUGAGCUGCUGCACAAGAAGUCUCAAGAGCAGGAAGAGAAGUUAGCCCACUUGAUGGCUCUCAUUGGAGCU